RNAcentral lists this ribosomal RNA (1443 nucleotides) under uncultured organism. RNAcentral describes it as "SSU rRNA". It matches the Rfam family "Bacterial small subunit ribosomal RNA". The record is from RNAcentral.
GGCAUGCCUUACACAUGCAAGCCGAACGGCAGCACGGGAGCAAUCCUGGUGGCGAGUGGCGAACGGGUGAGUAAAGCAUCGGAACGUGCCCAGUCGUGGGGGAUAACGUAGCGAAAGCUACGCUAAUACCGCAUACGAUCUGUGGAUGAAAGCGGGGGACCGUAAGGCCUCGCGCGAUUGGAGCGGCCGAUGUCAGAUUAGGUAGUUGGUGGGGUAAAGGCUCACCAAGCCGACGAUCUGUAGCUGGUCUGAGAGGACGACCAGCCACACUGGGACUGAGACACGGCCCAGACUCCUACGGGAGGCAGCAGUGGGGAAUUUUGGACAAUGGGCGCAAGCCUGAUCCAGCAAUGCCGCGCGCAGGAUGAAGGCCUUCGGGUUGUAAACUGCUUUCGUACGGAGCGAAAAGGCUUCCACUAAUACUGGGGGCUCAUGACGGUACCGUAAGAAUAAGCACCGGCUAACUACGUGCCAGCAGCCGCGGUAAUACGUAGGGUGCAAGCGUUAAUCGGAAUUACUGGGCGUAAAGCGUGCGCAGGCGGUCUUGUAAGACAGGUGUGAAAUCCCCGGGCUUAACCUGGGAACUGCACUUGUGACUGCAAGGCUGGAGUACGGCAGAGGGGGAUGGAAUUCCGCGUGUAGCAGUGAAAUGCGUAGAUAUGCGGAGGAACACCGAUGGCGAAGGCAAUCCCCUGGGCCUGUACUGACGCUCAUGCACGAAAGCGUGGGGAGCAAACAGGAUUAGAUACCCUGGUAGUCCACGCCCUAAACGAUGUCAACUGGUUGUUGGGUCUUCACUGACUCAGUAACGAAGCUAACGCGUGAAGUUGACCGCCUGGGGAGUACGGCCGCAAGGUUGAAACUCAAAGGAGUUGACGGGGACCCGCACAAGCGGUGGAUGAUGUGGUUUAAUUCGAUGCAACGCGAAAAACCUUACCCACCUUUGACAUGUACGGAAUCCUUUAGAGAUAGAGGAGUGCUCGAAAGAGAGCCGUAACACAGGUGCUGCAUGGCUGUCGUCAGCUCGUGUCGUGAGAUGUUGGGUUAAGUCCCGCAACGAGCGCAACCCUUGUCAUUAGUUGCUACGAAAGGGCACUCUAAUGAGACUGCCGGUGACAAACCGGAGGAAGGUGGGGAUGACGUCAAGUCCUCAUGGUCCUUAUAGGUGGGGCUACACACGUCAUACAAUGGCUGGUACAAAGGGUUGCCAACCCGCGAGGGGGAGCUAAUCCCAUAAAGCCAGUCGUAGUCCGGAUCGCAGUCUGCAACUCGACUGCGUGAAGUCGGAAUCGCUAGUAAUCGUGGAUCAGAAUGUCACGGUGAAUACGUUCCCGGGUCUCGUACACACCGCCCGUCACACCAUGGGAGCGGGUUCUGCCAGAAGUAGUUAGCCUAACCGCAAGGAGGGCGAUUACCACGGCAGGGUUCGUGACUGGGGUGAAG